GACUUUUUGAUGUGUAGAUGCAGAUGGCUUAGCAUGAUGUGAUAGAGUAGCAGAUGUACUAUGCGGAUUAAUUACAUGUGUAAAUGCAUAAUUGGCCAAUCUGAAGCCAAAGUUUGACUAAAAGUAUGCAUGAUUGAAUAAAGCGGUCAUGCAUUUCGUCGACAAAGUUAAAGGCGUGGGGCUUGUCGGCAGCAUUUGAAUAAGGGUGCUGCAGUCCAUGAACGUGGCCGACUUCACUGACAAUAGAUCUCACAUACAAUUUACAAGAGUGCACCUUUAUCAUUUUGGCUUUAUGCGACAAAGUCACUAAAAGAAACGUGGAAGUUUGAAAAAAAAAAAAAAAAAAAGAAAGAGUUUUACUUUA
Molecule: long non-coding RNA, 364 nt
Organism: Carya illinoinensis
Lineage: Eukaryota; Viridiplantae; Streptophyta; Magnoliopsida; Fagales; Juglandaceae
Exons: 2
Source: RefSeq, a predicted model, not a curated record